Molecule: long non-coding RNA, 3910 nt
Filed under: Mus musculus (house mouse)
Lineage: Eukaryota; Metazoa; Chordata; Mammalia; Rodentia; Muridae
Description: long non-coding RNA chr16:32882084-32885994
Source: RNAcentral
GUGUUGGUAUUUUUCUUCACUGAGGGAGCAUGACUAACACAAACAAUUUUUAGUGUCUUUUAUCUUAUUAAUUGGUAUUGAGAAUCAAACCUAGGGUCUUAUGAAUGCUAGGGAGCGCUCUACCAUGAGAGAGCUCCACCCAAAGCCUUUGUGCUUUUAUAUUUAGUGAGCUAGUUUGCAGUUGGAGAUGAGUCUCAAGAGGAAAACAGUACUUUGAAGUACUUUAAAUUACAUAUAUUUGGUUUUGUAUAUGUGUGGAUGCAUGUUGCUUUGUGCAUUUAGGCCAGAGGACAACUUAUGGGAGAAAUAAUACAAAUCAUGUAAAAAAUGACCCUUAAGCCAUGCGUGCUAGCACAGGCCUUUCAUUCCAGCACGUGGGUAGCAGAGGCAGUUGGAUCUCUGUGAUUUCAAGGGCAGCUUGGUCUUCAGAGUUCCAGGACAGCCAGUGCUACACAGAGAAACCACAUCUUGGAAAAAAAACAAAAAAACAAAAAGAAAGAAAGAAAGAAACCAACUAACCAACCUUAAUAAUCUCUCGUAUUUCCUUCACUGAUUUCGGAAAAACUAAUUAUAUUGAUAGAGUUAUGGUUAAAGUGAUUUGGUGAAAUGAUUGGAAUUAGCUUUAGUAGGAAGUUGUUAACAGUGCAGUCUCUUUGCUUGUUUGCUUUGUCAGUCACCACAAUUAACACUGGAUAUUGGGAACUAGAGAACUUUCCUUCCCUCCUUUCAUCCUCUGUCUUUCUUGAGAUAGAGUGGCAUUAUGUAGCCAAGGCUGGCCUUAAAGUUACAGCAGCCCUCCUGCCUUUUUCUGUCAAGCUGGGAUUACAAGUGUAUGCCACUACACCCAGCUGAGUUUAGAUACUUCUUUUUAAAAACACUUCUUUGUGUGUGUGUCCACAGUAUGGGGGUGGAAGUCAGGAAAGCUUGUGGAGAAUCAGUCCUCUUCUUUUACCAUAUGGGUCCUGGUAAUACACUUGGGCCAUCUGGCCUGGUGGCAGGUACUUUUAUUUGUGUAUCCAUCUCCCUGGUGCCAGAUAUUUUUUGAAUGAGUAUAGUAUUGGUUUCUAGUAACCUUUGACACUUAAUAAGAAUUUGAUAUAUGUUUAGUUUUCUCAUACUUACAUUGUUCAUUGUGGUGUUAACACAGUAUGAUCUUUAUGAAUUAAUUUGAGGCUGUUUGAAGGUGGUUUUGGAAAUAAUGAAGCUUACAGAGUUGGAGAGGUCAGAAAGGAUUAUCAGUGACUUUGCUAGAGAAGAACAGAACCAUGUUCCUUUAUUUUGAUACUUGCUCAUUUGCUUUCUAUUUGCAUGCCUGUUUUCAUAAACGUAAACUUACUGAAAUGGGGACUGUCUUACACUUGUUCCCUUAAACACAUGAAUUAAUUGCGUAAACUGUACAUCCAAUAAAUGUUUCUAAAUUCAGGUGACUUUAGAGCAUUGGGCUUUUGAGGUUUUUAUUGUUAUUGUUGCUUGGUUGAGUUUUGUUGCGCUCACUUCAAACUCAAUCUGCAGUCAAAGCUGGCUUUGAACUUCUGACUCUCCUACCUCUGCCUCCUUUUGCUGCAACUACAGCCAUGUGCCAUUAUGCACAACAGCAAGAGUAGAUAGACAUCUUGUUGUUGUUUGCAGUCCUGGGUUUGAACCCAAGACCUUGUAUGUUGUAGGUAAGCACUACUGCUGAGCUGAGUCUGCCUACUGUCCUCUCCCUGGUAGAAUUGAUCAGUUGGUAGAUCUAGUUUUGUCUAUUGGUUGGAACUUUUACUAGAGAACCUUUUUUUCCCUAAGCAUUUCAUCAGGCAAAAUGGCCGAUUGACGCUUAGGAUGAGGGAAAGGGCGUGGGAGUCCUGGGAAUCCAGGUAGCUAAGCUCUACAGAAGGUUCUUAACCAGCCUUGGCUACACAGUGUCUGAGACAGCUACGAUAAUAAUAAUGGGGACUAAGUUAGGGGCCUAGGAGAAAUCUAUUGACUAUACAUUGAAACUAAGCAAUUUUAUUCAUUGUGUUAAAAUGAAAAUAAUUAUGACAUUACUUUUUUUGUAGAUGAUAUUAUCAAACUGAAUAGAAAGGAGGGAAAGAAGCAAAACUUUCCAAGACUAAAUAGAAGACUCCAGCAAAGUGGUACCCGGCAAUUCAGGAUGAGAGUACGGUGGGGAAUCCAGCAGAAUUCUGGUAAGGUCUAAAAUGCCGUUGUUUAUGGACUCGUAAUAUGUUCAGCCAUAGACUUAACACCUGGAGGGAAUGCACCAGUACUUUCAGACUUUUGUUUAAUUCUGAAAACCUGGAAAGACAUUAUUUUCUAAAAUAGCUGUUAAUUGAUUGUUCCUUAAGAUUCUAAGUUGUUUAAGAAUCCCAGUUUAUAAAUAGUUUAAAUUAUUUUUAGAGUUUAGAUUUGCCAAAGGUCUUAUGUAGCCUGUGGUCCUGUUUUCCUUCCCCAGUGAUAGUCUGAUGAUAACUGACUCCAGCUUGAAUGUGUUCUGUGGAAGAGCAUACUGCACCAUGAGAUAAUUUACUCUAUUGUCCAACUGCUCUAUUUACCAGAAAAUUCUCUAUUUGAAUAAAAGCAUGUCUGAGUAUUACAGAAAGCAAACUCACUUCUUAAACAAGAAUCCUUUACUAUGUGAAGACUGCUGUUCUGCAAAGAAAAUUACUAUAGGCAGAUUUAUUUAUUUAUUUAUUUAUUUGUAGGCAGCGUCUCACUGUAUAGCCAUAACUAGCUAUGUAGACUAGGCUGGUCUCAAACUCAAAAGAGGUCUGGCUGCCUCUGCCUCCCAAGUACUGAGCGUAAAGGCAUAUACAACCUUGCCCAGCUUUCCUCCAAACUCUGUCUUACCAUCCAAGAACUUUAUUUGUAAAUUUUCUAAAGGUGGCACUCUAAAUUGACUGUUGUAGGUGUAAUUAGAUAUUUUAUAUAUAUACAUAUAUACAUAUAUACAUAUAUAUAUAUAUAUAUAUAGUUAUUUUCUGAUACUCUGAUAGUUGCUUUACCUAUAAUCAUUUUGUUCUUAAGAUAGAUUGGGAACAAUAAAUAAUUCAACACAUAUAUUAUAAGUGAACUUUUUAGCAACUAUGCCAGCAUCUUAGAGUAAACCUUUGUUCAAAUAAAUAUUUUUUUCACAUGAAUAAAAAUAACUUUGCCAAAUUAACCAACUUAAAUUUUUAUUCUGUAUUUUGAAAAGCAAAAAUUAAUCUCUAGUAUAACUUACAUGUUUUAACAGUAAUAUACCAGCAUGUUCUUAAAAAUACAUUACUGAGACUGGAUCUUACAAGAGACUCAGUGUUCUCUAAAGAAUGAUUUUCCUCUUACCUGUAUGUAGGAUGCAUGCAUGGGAGUGUAGUUGCUGAAGGGAGUAAGCAUUAGAGACCUGGAGGUCCAUGUGGCUCACGUGGCUGUGAGCCGUGGCUUCUGGAAACUAAACUUGGUAAUCUGGAAGAGUGGCAGGUGCUCUUAACAGCUGAACCAUACCUUCAGCCUCUAAGAAUUUUUUAAAUAGCUGGAUCUAGUUAAUACAUUUUGUGACAGGUAUUUAGCUGUUAGAAAUAAAUGUGUAAUUCUAUUGAUUUAUAUUAAAGAUAUCUUUACAAUUGUUAUUCAACACACUAUACUUAAUGUAUCAUUGUAAAUGUUUGUAUAUUUUGUCUUGAAGUAAUUGUUUAGAGUUCAGAAUAGCCAGAAAUAGUAUUUAUUAAUAUUUUACAUAUUUGGUAAGUGGUUUUGAACUGCCUGAUUUGGAGAAUGCAUAAGAAUACAAUCUUUUACUUUAAAGAGCUAAUUUCUAAUAACUUAGAGAGAGAAGAUGGUGUUUAAAAAAUGUCAGAGGUAGGCCUGGUAAUGCAUGCCUGUAAGCUCAGCAUUGGGAGGCAGAGAUAGGAGUCCAGCGUGGUCUCGAUUAGUGAGACUCAGACAAACAAAC